UACGUAGGGGGCAAGCGUUGUCCGGAGUUACUGGGCGUAAAGCGCACGCAGGCGGUCGAUUAAGUUUGGAGUGGCAGUUGGUGGCUUAACUGCCAAAGUGCUUCGAAAACUGAUCGACUUGAGGGCUUCAGAGGGACACGGAAUUCCGGGUGGAGUGGUGAAAUGCGUAGAGAUCCGGAGGAACACCGAAGGCGAAGGCAGUGUCCUGGGGAGUACCUGACGCUCAGGUGCGAAAGCCAGGGGAGCGAACGGG
RNAcentral lists this ribosomal RNA (253 nucleotides) under uncultured bacterium. RNAcentral describes it as "partial 16S ribosomal RNA". It matches the Rfam family "Bacterial small subunit ribosomal RNA", at positions 524 to 776 of the family's 1533-position model. The record is from RNAcentral.